GAUGAACGCUGGCGGCGUGCCUAAUACAUGCAAGUCGAGCGAACAGACGAGGAGCUUGCUCCUCUGACGUUAGCGGCGGACGGGUGAGUAACACGUGGAUAACCUACCUAUAAGACUGGGAUAACUUCGGGAAACCGGAGCUAAUACCGGAUAACAUGUUGAACCGCAUGGUUCAACAGUGAAAGACGGUCUUGCUGUCACUUAUAGAUGGAUCCGCGCCGCAUUAGCUAGUUGGUAAGGUAACGGCUUACCAAGGCAACGAUGCGUAGCCGACCUGAGAGGGUGAUAGGCCACACUGGAACUGAGCCACGGUCCAGACUCCUACGGGAGGCAGCAGUAGGGAAUCUUCCGCAAUGGGCGAAAGCCUGACGGAGCAACGCCGCGUGAGUGAAGAAGGUCUUCGGAUCGUAAAACUCUGUUAUUAGGGAAGAACAAAUGUGUAAGUAACUAUGCACGUCUUGACGGUACCUAAUCAGAAAGCCACGGCUAACUACGUG
This 497-nucleotide ribosomal RNA is filed under the name uncultured bacterium. RNAcentral describes it as "partial 16S ribosomal RNA". It matches the Rfam family "Bacterial small subunit ribosomal RNA", at positions 28 to 507 of the family's 1533-position model. The record is from RNAcentral.